GAUGAACGCUGGCGGCGUGCCUAAUACAUGCAAGUCGAGCGAACAGACGAGGAGCUUGCUCCUCUGAUGUUAGCGGCGGACGGGUGAGUAACACGUGGAUAACCUACCUAUAAGACUGGGAUAACUUCGGGAAACCGGAGCUAAUACCGGAUAACAUGUUGAACCGCAUGGUUCAACAGUGAAAGACGGUCUUGCUGUCACUUAUAGAUGGAUCCGCGCCGCAUUAGCUAGUUGGUAAGGUAACGGCUUACCAAGGCAACGAUGCGUAGCCGACCUGAGAGGGUGAUAGGCCACACUGGAACUGAGACACGGUCCAGACUACUACGGGAGGCAGCAGUAGGGAAUCUUCCGCAAUGGGCGAAAGCCUGACGGAGCAACGACGCGUGAGUGAAGAAGGUAUUCGGAUAGUAAAACUCUGUUAUUAGGGAAGAACAAAUGUGUAAGUAAAUAUGCACGUCUUGACGGUACCUAAUCAGAAAGGCACGGCUAAAUACGUG
This 497-nucleotide ribosomal RNA is filed under the name uncultured bacterium. Its description in RNAcentral is "partial 16S ribosomal RNA". It matches the Rfam family "Bacterial small subunit ribosomal RNA", at positions 28 to 507 of the family's 1533-position model. The record is from RNAcentral.